UGGGGAAUUUUUCCGCAAUGGGCGAAAGCCUGACGGAGCAAUGCCGCGUGGAGGUGGAAGGCCUACGGGUCGUCAACUUCUUUUCUCGGAGAAGAAACAAUGACGGUAUCUGAGGAAUAAGCAUCGGCUAACUCUGUGCC
RNAcentral lists this ribosomal RNA (140 nucleotides) under uncultured bacterium. RNAcentral describes it as "partial 16S rRNA". It matches the Rfam family "Bacterial small subunit ribosomal RNA", at positions 355 to 509 of the family's 1533-position model. The record is from RNAcentral.